This 181-nucleotide non-coding RNA is filed under the name bovine gut metagenome. The record is from RNAcentral.
GGCGUUCCCUGCGCCAACGGGAUGAAAAGGGAAUCAGGUGAGAAUCCUGAACAGUACCCGCUGCUGUAACUCCCCCGCGACACAUCGCACGGCAUCAUGCCACUGGUUGCAACAUCACGCUGCAUCAUCACCGGGAAGGCGCCACGAGCGAUGGAGGAGAAGUCAGAAGACCUGCCUAUAC